UUUUUAACUAUUGAAAAUUCACCUGAGAUUAAGACCAGCAUGGUCUGAUAUUAUAUUUAUGGUUCACUUCGUUUCUAAUUAAUUUUCUAUGUAGUUUAUUCCUCUCUCAAAUCAAGUUGAUACAUCACCCACCAACCUAACUACAACCUAAGACUAUUACUGUGUUGUAUGUAGGUUACUAGAUUGUGGUCAUGAAUAGACAAGCUACCUUACCAUCUAAACUGUCAACGCCCACCUCCUCUGUCCAACGGCCUUAUGAAAAUGCCAAUACGCCACUUCUAUUCUAUAAAAUUUCCAAUAGACUAUUGCUCUACGUUAAGCCCAUAUGGGUUGAUAGGAACGUGAGGGGUGGAGAGAAAUGGAAAGGAUAGAGGAUAAUAAAGGAUGGGUGAAAAAGAAAAUCAAUCCCAAGUUCCCAACCCAUUGUUUAGUUUAACAUAAUGCUACGUUUACUUGGAAAUCAGACUCCCAUUCCCUGCAUUUUUUAUUCUACCCAUGUUAAUUUUGUAUUAUUCCAAAAAUACCCUCAUUUUAGAUAAAAAAAAUAUAAAAAGCGAAAAAUAAAAAAAAUCCCUAAAACCUAAACUCUCUCACCCGUGCCUCCCAAUCAAAUGCCAUCAGAGCUGCUUCCAUCACCAUCGCAGCCAUCACCGUCUUUGACGUCCUGGUUCGUCGGCUGUGGACACCUGCUCGUCGCCGGUUUCGUCUCCGUUGGGCCGUGUCGAUUUUGUCACCGUCUCGAUUUCGCCCCCAUCUCAUUUCGUCUCCGAUUUCGUCUUUAAUGGCGAUGGUUCUGAUAUGAUGCUGCUGCUACUGUUAACGACGAUGAUUGUUGUUGCCAUUGUUGUUGAUGACGAUGACAAUUGAGAUUUUGAUUGUUGCUAUUUUUUUUUUUGGGAAAUGGAUUAUUUUUGUUGAUGAUGAUUAUUUGGGAAAUGGAUUAAUUUGAUGAUGAUGAUUGUUAUUAUUAUUAUUAUUUUGGAAAUGGAUUAUUUUGUUGAUGAUGAUGAAUCCGAUUAUGAUUAUUAUUAUUUUUUGAAAUGGAUUAUUAUUUUGCUGAUGAUGAUAUUUUUUAUUUUGAUUAUUGUUAUUAAUUUUAUU
Molecule: long non-coding RNA, 1101 nt
Filed under: Citrus x clementina
Lineage: Eukaryota; Viridiplantae; Streptophyta; Magnoliopsida; Sapindales; Rutaceae
Description: Citrus clementina (C. clementina) long non-coding RNA (CCLE_LNC003949)
Source: RNAcentral